GCGACCCCGGGUUAGGCGGGAUUACCCGCUGAAUUUAAGUAUUUCAAUAUGCGGAAGAA
This 59-nucleotide ribosomal RNA is filed under the name Citrus pseudogulgul. RNAcentral describes it as "partial 28S ribosomal RNA". The record is from RNAcentral. Lineage: Eukaryota; Viridiplantae; Streptophyta; Magnoliopsida; Sapindales; Rutaceae.